Molecule: transfer RNA, 56 nt
Filed under: Ipomoea nil (Japanese morning glory)
Lineage: Eukaryota; Viridiplantae; Streptophyta; Magnoliopsida; Solanales; Convolvulaceae
Rfam family: tRNA
About the family: Transfer RNA (tRNA) molecules are approximately 80 nucleotides in length. Their secondary structure includes four short double-helical elements and three loops (D, anti-codon, and T loops). Further hydrogen bonds mediate the characteristic L-shaped molecular structure. tRNAs have two regions of fundamental functional importance: the anti-codon, which is responsible for specific mRNA codon recognition, and the 3' end, to which the tRNAs corresponding amino acid is attached (by aminoacyl-tRNA synthetases). tRNAs cope with the degeneracy of the genetic code in two manners: having more than one tRNA (with a specific anti-codon) for a particular amino acid; and 'wobble' base-pairing, i.e. permitting non-standard base-pairing at the 3rd anti-codon position.
Source: Rfam by way of RNAcentral
GCUCAGUCGGUAGAGCGUAAGGCUCUUAACCUUGUGGUCCUGGGUUCAAGUCCUAG